Long non-coding RNA from Etheostoma spectabile (orangethroat darter), 179 nucleotides. RefSeq lists it as uncharacterized. The transcript is spliced from 3 exons. Lineage: Eukaryota; Metazoa; Chordata; Actinopteri; Perciformes; Percidae. The record is from RefSeq and is a predicted model, not a curated record.
UUACUUUUAAAGCUAUGUUUUCUUCUGACUAGGGAUGCACCGAUCCAACUUUUUCAGUCCCGAUACCGAUGCCUGGCCUUUGUGUCACUGUCAAUACCCGAUACCGAUCCGAUACGUUGUUGAAUUAAUAAUAAACUGUAUACCUUCCACCUUAUACCUUUCUUCCACCAUGUGGAAAG